RNAcentral lists this ribosomal RNA (600 nucleotides) under uncultured archaeon. Its description in RNAcentral is "bacterial SSU rRNA". It matches the Rfam family "Archaeal small subunit ribosomal RNA", at positions 81 to 680 of the family's 1478-position model. The record is from RNAcentral.
GCGCACUGCUCAGUAACACGUGGACAACCUGCCCUGAGGACUGGAAUAAUCCCGGGAAACUGGGGGUAAUUCCAGAUAUGUCAGAACUCCUGGAAUGGGUUCUGGCAGAAAGGCUCCGGCGCCUCAGGAUGGGUCUGCGGCCUAUCAGGGUAGUAGUGGGUGUAACGUACCUACUAGCCUACGACGGGUACGGGUUGUGAGAGCAAGAGCCCGGAGAUGGAUUCUGAGACAUGAAUCCAGGCCCUACGGGGUGCAGCAGGCGCGAAAACUUUACAAUGCGGGCAACCGCGAUAAGGGGACCUCGAGCGCUGGGUUACAAACCUGGCUGUUGGGCUGCCUAAAAAGCAGUCUAUAGCAAGGGCCGGGCAAGACCGGUGCCAGCCGCCGCGGUAACACCGGCGGCUCGAGUGGUAACCGCUAUUAUUGGGUCUAAAGGGUCUGUAGCCGGCCGACUAAGUCUCUUGGGAAACCUGGCAUCUCAAGUGUCAGGCUGCCAGGGGAUACUGGUCGGCUUGGGACCGGGAGAGGUGAGAGGUACCUCGGGGGUAGGGGUGAAAUCUUGUAAUCCUCGAGGGACCACCAGUGGCGAAGGCGUCUCAC